RNAcentral lists this ribosomal RNA (253 nucleotides) under uncultured bacterium. RNAcentral's name for it is "partial 16S ribosomal RNA". It matches the Rfam family "Bacterial small subunit ribosomal RNA", at positions 524 to 776 of the family's 1533-position model. The record is from RNAcentral.
CACGUAGGGCGCAAGCGUUGUCCGGAAUUAUUGGGCGUAAAGAGCUCGUAGGCGGUCUGUUGCGUCCGCUGUGAAAACUCGGGGCUCAACCCCGAGCCUGCAGUCGAUACGGGCAGACUAGAGUGCUGUAGGGGAGACUGGAAUUCCUGGUGUAGCGGUGAAAUGCGCAGAUAUCAGGAGGAACACCGGUGGCGAAGGCGGGUCUCUGGGCCAUAACUGACGCUGAGGAGCGAAAGCGUGGGGAGCGAACAGG